Molecule: ribosomal RNA, 1296 nt
Filed under: metagenome
Description: bacterial LSU rRNA
Rfam family: Bacterial large subunit ribosomal RNA
Source: RNAcentral
AACGACCGUACCGCAAACCGACACUGGUGCGCGAGAUGAGUAUUCUAAGGCGCUUGAGAGAACUCAGGAGAAGGAACUCGGCAAAUUGACACCGUAACUUCGGAAGAAGGUGUGCCCUAUUAGUGUGAAGUGAACAACGGAGCAUGAAUGGGUUGCAAAAAAUCGGUGGCUGCGACUGUUUAUUAAAAACACAGCACUCUGCAAACACGAAAGUGGACGUAUAGGGUGUGACGCCUGCCCGGUGCUGGAAGAUUAAAUGAUGGGGUGCAAGCUCUUGAUUGAAGUCCCAGUAAACGGCGGCCGUAACUAUAACGGUCCUAAGGUAGCGAAAUUCCUUGUCGGGUAAGUUCCGACCUGCACGAAUGGCGUAACGAUGGCCACACUGUCUCCUCCUGAGACUCAGCGAAGUUGAAAUGUUUGUGAUGAUGCAAUCUCCCCGCGGAAAGACGGAAAGACCCCAUGAACCUUUACUGUAGCUUUGUAUUGGACUUUGAACAGAUCUGUGUAGGAUAGGUGGGAGGCUUUGAAGCUGGGUCGCUAGAUCUUGUGGAGCCAACGUUGAAAUACCACCCUGGUGUGUUUGAGGUUCUAACCUAGGUCCAUUAUCUGGAUCGGGGACAGUGCAUGGUAGGCAGUUUGACUGGGGCGGUCUCCUCCCAAAGCGUAACGGAGGAGUUCGAAGGUACGCUAGUUACGGUCGGACAUCGUGACGAUAGUGCAAUGGCAUAAGCGUGCUUAACUGCGAGACUGACAAGUCGAGCAGAUGCGAAAGCAGGACAUAGUGAUCCGGUGGUUCUGUAUGGAAGGGCCAUCGCUCAACGGAUAAAAGGUACUCUGGGGAUAACAGGCUGAUACCGCCCAAGAGUUCAUAUCGACGGCGGUGUUUGGCACCUCGAUGUCGGCUCAUCUCAUCCUGGGGCUGUAGCCGGUCCCAAGGGUAUGGCUGUUCGCCAUUUAAAGAGGUACGUGAGCUGGGUUUAAAACGUCGUGAGACAGUUUGGUCCCUAUCUUCCGUGGGCGCUGCAGAUUUGAGGAAGCCUGCUCCUAGUACGAGAGGACCGGAGUGGACACACCUCUGGUGUAUCGGUUGUCACGCCAGUGGCAUUGCCGAGUAGCUAAGUGUGGAAGAGAUAACCGCUGAAAGCAUCUAAGCGGGAAACUCGUUUCAAGAUGAGAUCUGCCGGGGCCUUGAGCCCCCUGAAGAGUCGUUCAAGACCAGGACGUUGAUAGGUCAGGUGUGGAAGCGCAGUAAUGCGUUAAGCUAACUGAUACUAAUUGCUCGUGCGGCUUGACCUG